AUGUCUUCAAUGGACUUGAGGCAAGCCUUUGCUGGCCUUCUCACUCUGUCAAUGUUCAUGAUGAUUGGUAAUAUGAUCAAGAAGGAUCAUUUUGAUUAUUCAAUUAAUGAUGUUGAAAUUCAACCAAGCAUGACGACAGUUUCACAUCUAAGCAAAAGGACUUUGAAGCAAAAUGAUAAAGGACUAAAACCAUGCUGGAAUCCACCUUGUGCACUCGGUAAGUUAUCAGCCUUCAUGAUCUAUUUUGGUUAG
This is a non-coding RNA of Vicia faba (fava bean), 252 nucleotides long. Lineage: Eukaryota; Viridiplantae; Streptophyta; Magnoliopsida; Fabales; Fabaceae. The record is from the annotation of a GenBank genome assembly.